UGGGGAAUAUUGCACAAUGGGCGCAAGCCUGAUGCAGCGACGCCGCGUGAGGGAUGACGGCCUUCGGGUUGUAAACCUCUUUCAGCAGGGACGAAGCGCAAGUGACGGUACCUGCAGAAGAAGCACCGGCCAACUACGUGCCAGCAGCCGCGGUAAUACGUAGGGUGCGAGCGUUGUCCGGAAUUACUGGGCGUAAAGAGCUCGUAGGCGGUUUGUCGCGUCGUCUGUGAAAUUCUGCAGCUUAACUGCAGGCGUGCAGGCGAUACGGGCAGACUUGAGUACUACAGGGGAGACUGGAAUUCCUGGUGUAGCGGUGAAAUGCGCAGAUAUCAGGAGGAACACCGGUGGCGAAGGCGGGUCUCUGGGUAGUAACUGACGCUGAGGAGCGAAAGCGUGGGUAGCGAACAGGAUUAGAUACCCUGGUAGUCCACGCCGUAAACGGUGGGUACUAGGUGUGGGUUCCAUUUCACGGGAUCCGUGCCGUAGCUAACGCAUUAAGUACCCCGCCUGGGGAGUACGGCCGCAAGGCUAAAACUCAAAUGAAUUGACGGGGUCAUAGCUGUUUCC
RNAcentral lists this ribosomal RNA (567 nucleotides) under uncultured bacterium. RNAcentral describes it as "partial 16S ribosomal RNA". It matches the Rfam family "Bacterial small subunit ribosomal RNA", at positions 355 to 937 of the family's 1533-position model. The record is from RNAcentral.